This 254-nucleotide ribosomal RNA is filed under the name uncultured bacterium. RNAcentral describes it as "partial 16S ribosomal RNA". It matches the Rfam family "Bacterial small subunit ribosomal RNA", at positions 524 to 776 of the family's 1533-position model. The record is from RNAcentral.
CACGUAGGGUGCGAGCGUUGUCCGGAAUUAUUGGGCGUAAAGAGCUCGUAGGCGGUGUGUCGCGUCGGCCGUGAAAACCUGCAGCUUAACUGUGGGCUUGCGGUCGAUACGGGCAUCACUGGAGUUCGGCAGGGGAGACUGGAAUUCCUGGUGUAGCGGUGAAAUGCGCAGAUAUCAGGAGGAACACCGGUGGCGAAGGCGGGUCUCUGGGCCAUUACUGACGCUGAGGAGCGAAAGCGUGGGGAGCGAACAGG